Molecule: transfer RNA, 72 nt
Filed under: Euzebyales bacterium
Lineage: Bacteria; Bacillati; Actinomycetota; Nitriliruptoria; Euzebyales
Also listed under: 2 other names
Description: tRNA-Val
Rfam family: tRNA
About the family: Transfer RNA (tRNA) molecules are approximately 80 nucleotides in length.
Source: RNAcentral
GGGGGCGUAGCUCAGCGGAAGAGCGCUCGCCUUACAAGCGAGAGGUCACUGGUUCGAUCCCAGUCGCCCCCA